This 518-nucleotide ribosomal RNA is filed under the name uncultured bacterium. RNAcentral describes it as "partial 16S ribosomal RNA". It matches the Rfam family "Bacterial small subunit ribosomal RNA", at positions 355 to 864 of the family's 1533-position model. The record is from RNAcentral.
UGGGGAAUUUUGGACAAUGGGGGAAACCCUGAUCCAGCCAUCCCGCGUGUGCGAUGAAGGCCUUCGGGUUGUAAAGCACUUUUGGCAGGAAAGAAACGUCGCGGGUUAAUACCCCGCGGAACUGACGGUACCUGCAGAAUAAGCACCGGCUAACUACGUGCCAGCAGCCGCGGUAAUACGUAGGGUGCAAGCGUUAAUCGGAAUUACUGGGCGUAAAGCGUGCGCAGGCGGUUCGGAAAGAAAGAUGUGAAAUCCCAGAGCUUAACUUUGGAACUGCAUUUUUAACUACCGGGCUAGAGUGUGUCAGAGGGAGGUGGAAUUCCGCGUGUAGCAGUGAAAUGCGUAGAUAUGCGGAGGAACACCGAUGGCGAAGGCAGCCUCCUGGGAUAACACUGACGCUCAUGCACGAAAGCGUGGGGAGCAAAACAGGAUUAGAUACCCUGGUAGUCCACGCCCUAAACGAUGUCAACUAGCUAGUUGGGGUCUUCGGACCUUGGUAGCGCAGCUAACGCGUGAAG